UAGUCCACGCCGUAAACGAUGAGAACUAGACAUUGCGGGUAUUGACCCCUGCGGUGUCGAAGCUAACGCAUUAAGUUCUCCGCCUGGGGAGUACGGUCGCAAGAUUAAAACUCAAAGGAAUUGACGGGGGCCCGCACAAGCGGUGGAUCAUGUGGUUUAAUUCGAAGCAACGCGAAAAACCUUACCUGGGUUUGAAAUCCCGAGAAUCUUCUAGAGAUAGAGGAGUGCCCUUCGGGGAAUUCGGUGACAGGCGCUGCAUGGCUGUCGUCAGCUCGUGUUGUGAAAUGUUGGGUUAAGUCUCGCAACGAGCGCAACCCCUAUCGUUAGUUGCCAGCAUUAAGUUGGGCACUCUAACGAGACUGCCCGGGUUAACCGGAGGAAGGUGGGGAUGACGUCAAGUCCUCAUGGCCCUUAUGUCCAGGGCUACACACGUGAUACAAUGGUCGGUACAAAGGGAUGCGAGCACGCGAGUGUCUGCAAACCUCAAAAAACCGAUCUCAGUCCGGAUUGGAGUCUGCAACUCGA
RNAcentral lists this ribosomal RNA (525 nucleotides) under uncultured bacterium. Its description in RNAcentral is "bacterial SSU rRNA". It matches the Rfam family "Bacterial small subunit ribosomal RNA", at positions 791 to 1315 of the family's 1533-position model. The record is from RNAcentral.